This 380-nucleotide ribosomal RNA is filed under the name uncultured organism. RNAcentral describes it as "bacterial SSU rRNA". It matches the Rfam family "Bacterial small subunit ribosomal RNA", at positions 367 to 762 of the family's 1533-position model. The record is from RNAcentral.
CGCAAUGGGCGAAAGCCUGACGGAGCGACGCCGCGUGAUGGAUGAAGUCCUUCGGGACGUAAACAUCUUUUAUGAGGGAGGAAUUUUUGACGUUACCUCAUGAAUAAGGGGCUCCUAACUCUGUGCCAGCAGGAGCGGUAAUACAGAGGCCCCAAGCGUUACCCGGAUUUAUUGGGCGUAAAGGGUGCGUAGGCGGUCAUAUUAGUCACUUGUUAAAUCUCCCGGCUCAACCGGGAUCCUGCAAGUGAAACGGUAUGACUCGAGGAUGUGAGAGGUGAUCGGAACUCACGGUGUAGGGGUGAAAUCCGUUGAUAUCGUGGGGAACACCAAAAGCGAAGGCAGAUCACUGGCACAUUCCUGACGCUGAAGCACGAAAGCGU